AGAUCCUGCCACCCAGAUACUUAUACUCUAUGACCAUUAUGCUUUAUUUCUGGGCUCCUAAAUCUACUUUGUUUUGGAAGUAAUUCAGAUAUCAGAUUUAUGUAGUUAUAAUCUUGUCUUUUAGAUCCUCAUGCACUGUUUCUCAUUGUCAAUAUUUUCACUACAUCGCUCAAAUAUUUACUCUUCAAGAUGGAUUCUGCAAUCAUUUUGUCAGGAACAAAAAAAAUAUGAUAUUGAGAGUUUCAUUGAAAAAGUAACAUAUAAAUAUGAAUUUAAGGAACACUGACAUGUUUGAAAUAGUGAUGUUUUCCACCUAGGAACAAAGUAUUUCUCCCUUAAUUCAAUUCUCCUUUUGGUCCUUUGCCAGGUUCUACAGUCCUUUUACAUUAUUUUUAAUACUGUAAGCAGCCUUUCUCUGCAUGAAAGAGAACAAAUACUUUUAGAAGAAAAAUGUUAUUCUGAAUGUCCUGUGCUUAAUUACAUAGGCCUUCCAUCUCGUGCAGAUAUCCUGAGAAUGUAAUGAGUCUUGGUCCUCCUGCUCAGAGUGUGCUGGACUGGCAUCCUGAGGCUCCGGCUGCAGCUACAAUUUUAUCAUUUCCUGUUUUCUCACUUCUGGGAAUCCCAGACAUCCUUCUAGAACUUCCUGUGCCAUCAAUACUGAACAUGUGACAUUCUAGGCAACUUCACUCCUGACAUCUUUUUAUGAGAACAAUGUUUUUGAAGAUUCUAAGCUCUGGAAGAAUAAGCGUGGAUUAUGACAAAAAUUUCUCAGGGUGCUGGCAGGUGGCCCAAUGCCACGCAUCUGGAAACCUACCCUGGACAUGUGGUGUUUCCUCCACUUACAGAGACCUGAGGGUGAGGAAAGAGAAAGUUUCCCAUUUCAAAGCUACAGAUCUUCCUUCUUUGAUACCCAAGCCUGAGUCCCAGAUCUCAUUGUCCUUUCUUUGUUUCAGCAGAAGCUUAAAAGAGUCUUUUGAUAUACAAAGGCAGGCCCAAUACAAGUGCAAAAUGAAAAGCCCAAUUUCUCUGCAUAAUAAAGUAAAGAGAAUUGAUGGUCACCUGAAAUAAGGUAAAAGUGGUAUUAAGAGGGUAACUGAAACAGGAGUGGAAGGGGCAGAAAUGACCACGGAACAUGUAAGUCCCAGAGGAACUGGAUAAUAGAACCAAUUUGAUUUAAAUUGCAAAAAAGCGAGGUGACCUUAGCUACCAUUUGGGUUAUGCAAUUCACCUCUCUUAACAGAACAUGCAGGCUGAGCACAACUUUCUCUCCACAGAAUAAACGUUGGGAACUGAGUCA
This 1297-nucleotide long non-coding RNA is filed under the name Vulpes vulpes (red fox). Its description in RNAcentral is "lncRNA (ENSVVUG00000009975.1)". Lineage: Eukaryota; Metazoa; Chordata; Mammalia; Carnivora; Canidae. The record is from RNAcentral.